This 140-nucleotide ribosomal RNA is filed under the name uncultured Bifidobacterium sp. RNAcentral describes it as "partial 16S ribosomal RNA". It matches the Rfam family "Bacterial small subunit ribosomal RNA", at positions 355 to 507 of the family's 1533-position model. Lineage: Bacteria; Bacillati; Actinomycetota; Actinomycetes; Bifidobacteriales; Bifidobacteriaceae. The record is from RNAcentral.
UGGGGAAUAUUGCACAAUGGGCGCAAGCCUGAUGCAGCGACGCCGCGUGAGGGAUGGAGGCCUUCGGGUUGUAAACCUCUUUUAUCGGGGAGCAAGCGAGAGUGAGUUUACCCGUUGAAUAAGCACCGGCUAACUACGUG